Tupaia belangeri chinensis (Chinese tree shrew) is the source of this 706-nucleotide long non-coding RNA. RefSeq lists it as uncharacterized. NCBI's taxonomy places the organism in Eukaryota, Metazoa, Chordata, Mammalia, Scandentia, Tupaiidae. The record is from RefSeq and is a predicted model, not a curated record. The transcript is spliced from 3 exons.
GUGGACGCUGUGACGCUCCAGGGCCUAGAAGAGGAACCUGGGGCCCAACGCAGCCAUGGUGGUUCAGGCUACUCCUCGUCCAGCCAGUUCCUGUUCAGUCUUCCCAACGAGGGUGGAGAGAAUCGGUGCUCCUGCCCUGACUUCUUUGGUGACCUAUUAAACAGGAGCUGGCCACGGAACCAACUGGGCUGAGCACUGUGCAAGGUGCAGGACCCCUGCCACCACUGCCCCUUCUGUGCCUCAGUUUCCUCCCAUCUGCGGUAGGUAAUUAACUUAUAUUCCAUAAUGCAUUCCAAAUUUAGCACAAAAACAGGUUUUAUAAAAGCAAGCAACAUGGUUGUUUCACUUCAAAGCCUUUUCUAUGGGGGAAAGGGGAGAGUUUUAGGAGAGGCUGUUUAGGUUUCAGGGACUAACAAGAAUGUGUGUUCAGUGCUUUGGGGAGGCUGAGGAGAUAGACAAAGCUAAUAAGACCUGGAUUAAAACCAGGUUAAUGGGGCUGGAUCCAUGGUGCAGCAGGCAUGCUCUGCUCAAGAGAAGCCAGACCCCAUACGUGACCAUGGUUUGAGUCCCUGGCCUGGAGCCUGAAAAAUGCAGGGCAUGCAAGUGCCAAGGAGAGAAGGACUUGAGGCAGGGGACAGUGGCAUGACUAGACCCUGUAGAAGGUACUCAGCCCUCUCUUGUAAGUAUAUGUGCUUCAUCAUGAAUU